This is a long non-coding RNA of Alligator mississippiensis (American alligator), 727 nucleotides long. RefSeq lists it as uncharacterized. The record is from RefSeq and is a predicted model, not a curated record. Lineage: Eukaryota; Metazoa; Chordata; Crocodylia; Alligatoridae. The transcript has 3 exons.
AGGCCAGGCUGGCAGUUCUCUGCCAGCAGCCUGGGAGGCAGGAGCUCUGGGAGUGAGGAUGUGGAAAGGAGCCUAGUAGCAAGAAAGUAUUCAAGAUAUUUUCCCAGAAGAAUGGACAUAUGACACCAGAAUUGAAUAACAGAGCCAAGUCUCCAUUAAUGAGGGCAGUCCAUUGCAGUCAUCAAGACCCUCCUCCUCUUCGCAGAGAGCGCCCCCAGAACACUCCUCUCCAGGCCGGGUCCCAAGUGCCACAUCUUUUCUAACCUGAUUGUAGGAUUGUGUUUAUCCCCCUCAAUCUCAAAGUAUACUCGACAUGGCCACCCAUCAGCACCAUUUCCCCACUGAGCAAGCUUAAGAGGGUCUCAUUCAUCUUUUCAAGCUUGACCCAUUUUGAAGAGUUUCCUUCUACAGUACAAGGCGGCUAUAGUUGUAGAGUGAGGGGGUUUUUUUUGCAUAACAAUGUUGGACUUCAAUCCUGUUUUAGCCACCUAAGUGCUUGAUUGGAAAUGAACCUUUAUAUAAUAUUUCUCCACUCUUAAACUCUUCAGUUGUAAGGUCACUUACACUCACUGAAGCCUUAUUGAUUGCUUCAGGAAGGAGAACUGCUAAACUAGGACACACUACUGAUUUUUUUUUUUUUCUAUUCUCCACCAAUAUUUUCUCCAGAAUGUUUUCUUUUUCUCAGUUUCUUCCACACUUCACUCCAUUAAAUUAAAUAUCAAUCAGA